UGGGGAAUAUUGGGCAAUGGGCGCAAGCCUGACCCAGCCAUGCCGCGUGAGUGAUGAAGGCCUUCGGGUCGUAAAGCUCUGUGGGGAGGGAAGAAAAACCUUAUGGCUAACAUCCAUGAGGCUUGACGGUACCUCCUUAGCAAGCACCGGCUAACUCCGUGCCAGCAGCCGCGGUAAUACGGAGGGUGCAAACGUUGCUCGGAAUCAUUGGGCGUAAAGCGCACGUAGGUGGCCUGUUAAGUCGGGUGUGAAAUCCCUGGGCUCAACCCAGGAAGUGCACUCGAAACUGGCAGGCUUGAGUACUGAAGAGGGUCGCGGAAUUCCCGGUGUAGAGGUGAAAUUCGUAGAUAUCGGGAGGAACACCAGUGGCGAAGGCGGCGACCUGGGCAGAUACUGACACUGAGGUGCGAAAGCGUGGGGAGCAAACAGGAUUAGAUACCCCCGUAGUCC
This 450-nucleotide ribosomal RNA is filed under the name uncultured bacterium. RNAcentral's name for it is "bacterial SSU rRNA". It matches the Rfam family "Bacterial small subunit ribosomal RNA", at positions 355 to 796 of the family's 1533-position model. The record is from RNAcentral.